Molecule: ribosomal RNA, 503 nt
Filed under: uncultured Rikenellaceae bacterium
Lineage: Bacteria; Pseudomonadati; Bacteroidota; Bacteroidia; Bacteroidales; Rikenellaceae
Description: bacterial SSU rRNA
Rfam family: Bacterial small subunit ribosomal RNA
Source: RNAcentral
CGCCUUGCCAGCCCGCUCAGAAACUUAAAGGAAUGACGGGGCCCGCACAAGCGGAGGAACAUGUGGUUUAAUUCGAUGAUACGCGAGGAACCUUACCUGGGCUAGAACGCAUUCGGAAUCAGGCCGAAAGGUCUGCGCCAGCGAUGGCCGCUUGCGAGGUGCUGCAUGGUUGUCGUCAGCUCGUGCCGUGAGGUGUCGGGUUAAGUCCCAUAACGAGCGCAACCCCUACUGCUAGUUGCCAGCGGGUCAUGCCGGGGACUCUAGCGGAACUGCCAGCGUAAGCUGCGAGGAAGGUGGGGAUGACGUCAAAUCAGCACGGCCCUUACGUCCAGGGCUACACACGUGUUACAAUGGCCAGUACAGAGGGCAGCCACCCCGCGAGGGGGCGCUAAUCCUAAAAGCUGGUCCCAGUUCGGAUCGGAGUCUGCAACCCGACUCCGUGAAGCUGGAUUCGCUAGUAAUCGCGCAUCAGCCACGGCGCGGUGAAUACGUUCCCGGGCCUU